This 252-nucleotide ribosomal RNA is filed under the name uncultured bacterium. RNAcentral describes it as "partial 16S ribosomal RNA". It matches the Rfam family "Bacterial small subunit ribosomal RNA", at positions 524 to 776 of the family's 1533-position model. The record is from RNAcentral.
UACGUAGGGAGCAAGCGUUGUCCGGAAUUACUGGGUGUAAAGGGAGCGUAGGCGGGAGGAUAAGUUGAAUGUGAAAUCUAUGGGCUCAACCCAUAGCUGCGUUCAAAACUGUUCUUCUUGAGUGAAGUAGAGGCAGGCGGAAUUCCUAGUGUAGCGGUGAAAUGCGUAGAUAUUAGGAGGAACACCAGUGGCGAAGGCGGCCUGCUGGGCUUUUACUGACGCUGAGGCUCGAAAGCGUGGGUAGCAAACAGG